UUUUUUUUGAGGAACUUGGUUAUCAAAGGAAGGGAAGAGAUGUAUAAAGAGCUUGCAAAUAUCACAAAGUAAGGGAAGCCUUGUAUUAGGUCAAAUUUUUUUUUUUAAGGAUGAAAGACUUUUAAGUAUGUUUUAUAAGCUGAAGAAGGAGCCUUUAGGAAGGGAAUGAGUGAUGAGUUCUGAUCCUUUAUUCACAACUCCCUGUUUUCUGCACUCUCCUUAGGUCUCGAAGUCACAGAUGGCAUGAAAAAAUAAGGGUCUUCUUGAUUCAAAACCAAUUUGAGGCAAACUUUUGGCUGUGCCGGCCCCUGACAAGAAGACACUGCUGAGAAAGUAUGCCCACCACCCCGUCUCCUUCUGUCCUAGCACCAGACUGUAACUCAUCUCCAUCCUUCCCAGCCUGGGGCUCUCUUGCAUCCUACCUGGAUUUCAAGGCAUCUCACCCAAGAUGCAGACCGACGUCUAGCCUGAGUCCAGCCAUGGGAACUAUCCUCAGCUCUUUGGGAGUGCCCUCUCCUCUCUUAUCCCCAGGCAUGCCCUCCCUCCCAGCUGGCUCAGGCUGCUCACCCUUGGAGCUCUCUGGGUAGGUAUCGCUCCUUCCCUGUGCCCCCUCUAACACCCAUCACAGUAGAUCGUGAAUCCUAUUCACAACCCUUGCUUCCUCCAGUAGGCUGUGACUUGCUUCUUGGGUGUCUCUAGCACCUAACAUGUAGCAAGGCUCACUAAAUGUGUGCUUUAUGAAUGAAUGAACAAAUGGAUGUGUUCCUUAUCCUUUUUCAUCCCGAGUCUCUUCAUGGAGGAAGAAGACCCAGAUAAAGCAGCAGACUGAGAAAUGGAACGCAAAGAGUCGCUUUUGGUUAUGUGCAGUUUCCCUCUAGAGUCUAAUCUCUUGCUGCGGAUUUAGGCCGUGAGCAGCCUACAGACUUGGAGGCAGUAAAGACUACAUCAUAAUAACCAUCUAUUAAACUUCAAAGGGAGAAAAACUUAAAACAUGAAUGGAGCUAAUUGCUGGCUGCCACAAAUUGGUUCUUGGGCAUUAUAAAUGGUUUACUAGUUGGUCUAGAUACCAUUGCGAUAGAUGCCAUAUAUAAAUACAAACAUAAAGGGAUGCAGAGAUAACUCACAGAGGCUGUGACCUCAUCAAGUCACAGCGCUAUAGCCUACAGGGAAGGAUUUUACCUGUUCUGUGUGUUUGGCAUAAUUAUCUGUCACAAAGUAGCCAAAAAAAUGACUCUCUUAUUUAACAAUUACCUAAAGACUGGAGUCUAGGUGAAACCAAUGAAACAGUUGCUAUCCUAGGCUGGGUGUGAGGAUGCCUCGGGGUCAGACCACCCUCUGAAGCAACCAGCUAUGUUCCACAGGCCAGAUGCCUGUCUAUUACUCAACACACUAGUUAUAAUACUUGGGCUCAUGCAUUCACUUACUCAUUCAUUCAGUGUAUAUUUAUUAAGCACCUACUGUAUCCCUGGUACAGUGCUAGGUACCAGGAGGACCAAGAGGAAUAAGUCCCCAGCCUUCUCACAGGCCAUCCUCAGGGUAAUGCAGAGAAACUGAAGAACACAGUGUGACAAUGCUGUUAACAUGUGUCCAGGUGCUGCAGGGGAUAGGGAAGGGGGUAAGUGGAACUGCCAGAGGAGACAGGUGAAAUCUUGAGAGGGGGAGGUCUUUGCAUUGGGUUUGCCAUGAUUAGCCAGAGUUGGUCAGGCAGAGAAGAAGUGCCAUUCAAAAUAACAGGAACGUGGUAUCAAAAAUACAUGAAAAAGAAAUCCUUAGGGAACAGUGAAUGUCGGGUGAGUAUAGUCGGCCUCUAAGGGACCCAUGGGGGUGGGUUAGCCUUGGGGAGGGGCUGGGUAUUCUCUUGUAGGCUAUAAGGCAGUGGUUCUCAAACUUGAGCAUAUGCACCAGCAUCCCUUGGAGGGGUGGCUAACACAGAUUGCUUGGCCCCUCCCCCAGUGUUUCUGAAUGGGCAAUUCUGGGGCCGGGCUGGAGGACUGGCUGUCUCUAACAAGCUCUCGGGUAUGGUGGAUGACCUGGGGGUGGGGGGAGAUGGGUUCAAAUCCAUGCUGUGCCGUAUCCUGAGAGCACGAGACUACCCACGUCACUUCCCCUCCUUCAGCCUUAGUCUCAGUUUCCUCCUUAGUGAAAUUGGGGCUAAUGGUCCCUGCCAGGCAGCCUUUCUUCUGGCGACUUUAUUGAGAGAACGUGUGUGAGCUCUCAGGAUAUAUCAAGUGCUAAAAAGAAGUGCUAGAAGAUGUGUAUGUUACACACACAAACACACAAGUAUCUUUUAGUACUUUUUUUUUGGCCUAUUGAACAUUCCACAAGACUCUUAACGAAUUCAAGAGGUUUCACAAGCCUCUUGGAUGGCUGCCCUGUGUGUGUGUGUGUGUAUACAUGUGUGCGAGAGACAGAAAAGGGGAGUAAGCCAGAACAAUGUCAGGGUGGAAAAAGGAGGCUGACGUUAAUUCCAUUUUUACCUUUGAGUUCCGGUCUCAUUUCCUAUAACAUCUUAGAAGAUUUCUAAAUUAAAACAGACCAGGACUUAGAAACCUUCCGCUAGGGAUUUUUCCUUUCUAUCACAUAAAAAUCUUCCCUGAGUCCCUCAGGGACUUCCUGGGUUCUCUGUAAAAAUUUCACAGUUUUCCAUAAAUGCAGAAACAGGCAAUAUUGAUCAGGCUCAGGAUGAAUGCAACCAAACCCUUUAAACAAGGGUCUAGCCAGUUCUAGGAAACCUUUUCUUCACCUUAGUGUAAUUCUCCACCUCCGGGGUAUUGACAGGCUGGGUUUAAAGAGCUCCUUUAACUAAAUGCGACUGGAGUUCUCCUUUCAUCAGGAAGGGCCGCAAGGAGGCUGUAACAUGUUAUUCUGGAGUGUGUUAGCAGGCACGCCCUGGAACAGCAGGCUAUCAGCUUACCCACAAGUGAACAAUUACCCGGGUGGUGUGGUUAAUCGCAGCAGCUUCACUAUGGAGAAAGAAAAAUAAUACCCUUCCCAUCUUGUCCCAAGGAAAAGAAAGAAGACAUCUACCAAUGUGUAAGAGGAUAAUUUCCUAAUUACCCCAUGAAGGUUGUUAUUUCUGGUGGGUCCUUAAAUCAGGUUGAGAGGGGAAAUCUGAUCCUUCCUUUAGUGAUGAAAAAUGUUAUUGUAGGAUUGGGUUUUCACAUAGUGUCUCCCUCUGGAGUUGAAGGAAGAAGUUGCCAAUCGCCCCCAGGGGAGCUGUGGAGACCGCAGGUGUGGGCAGAGGAAGGUCCCCAAGUGCUGAGGCCAGAGCUGGGGCACUUCAGGUUGGUGGCAAUGUGAUUAAUUCCUCAGAAAACCUUCCUCCUGAGUGUGAGGGGGCCCCAGCAGAAUACAUGACUUCCUAGCCUAUUAACUUCUGAACGUUUUAGAAAUGAAGCUUGCUGCAGUCUUCAGCUACCAUUAAAUUCUCCUCAAGGCAUCUUGUGACAAAAGGAGGGGUGUUCUGGUAGUGAUUAUCAAACCAUAACUAAUCCCCCAGGGGGCACUCCCAGAAUGUUGCCUACUCCUCUGGAAAAAAGAAACUAACAUUUCUGGAGGACCUGCCGCCGAGUUCUAGAACUUUCUCUUCUACUCUCUCCUUGACUCUUCACAACAACCCUGUAAGACAGUGUAACAGCUGUCAAUGUCUAAACACCCCAAUAGAGGACCCCAUCAUACCAUGUGCUCCCAGAAGGGGGAGGCCCCCUUGGCAGAGCUCUCCUCCCCUGCUUUCCGGUCCUACCUUCUCUGACAGCUGUGAGUGGACUGGCAGGACACAGGAAACAGAGAAGUUAGGGGGAGAAGGUGUAGGAGUGGGAACAGGGAAGAAAAUCUGGACAUGGAGAAGGGGUGGCCUUAAGGGUGAGCCAGAGCCGGUACCAAGAAGACUAGCCAAGCAAGUGAAAUGUGGCUUUAUCUUCCACUCUCUUCAGUUCCAGAAUGCCCCCCAUCUGUGUCCCUCGGGGACACAGUCAUUAAUUCAACAACUAUGUACUAAGCGCCCCUUAAGUACCAGGUACCUUAAUGUGCACUGGGGAAAAGGCAGUGAAUAACCAAAUGCAAGUCCCCCUUCCGGGAGCCUGCCUUCAAAGGGGUUUCCAGCCAGUGGCUUCACGCCUUCCUAGGCUGCUGAGAACUCCCUAGGAGGGUGCCCCCUUUCGGUUCCUGUUGACACGCGCGCGCACACGCACGGACACGCGCGCACUGGCCCUGCCCCCUGCCUCGCAACCUCCUUUCGUGCUCCGCAGCACGCACGCCUACGCACACGCACGGAUACCCGCCAGCUCACACAUGCGCGCUCACGGACACACGCACACACACGCGUGCGCACACACACGCCCUGCCGCGCGACCCUGUCCCACGCCCAGGGCGCGGCGUGGAGGGGCGGGCAGCAGACGCGGGCGUGCGCCGAGGAGCCGCUCAGCACGCGACCGCCGGCGAAGGGCCUCUGUUCUGUGCCGGCGCGGCGGGCCCGGCGCCGAGGCCCCGCAGACGGAGCCCCCGAGGUUCCUCUCCGCCCGCACCGCCGGGCUCUGCGCUGCAGGCAGGCGGGAUGGCGCCCCCGGACCUGGCGGCCCACGGCCCACCCACGACCCACGGCCUCAGCCCUCUAGGGCCUCGUCUGGCCGCCGGCUCCUUUCUCAGCAACUCCGUCUGGGCGGCGGGAUGGGAGGAGAGGCAGAUGCAGAAAUGGAGGCUCUGAGUUCCAGCAGCAUGUGGUGGUGGGAACAUCCGCAACGCAGAGGUGAAUCAAGACUGUAUCAUGAUGAGAGCUCCACUCAAAGAAGGAAGAUGCUCUGUCAGGAAACAAACACUGAACACCUGCUCUUCCAGUGCAGAUGGCAGGAAAGCAGAGGAGAGAAGCUGACUGACGUUUGAGAUGGUGGUUUGAGAUUUCUUUCAAGGUGCCGUCAAAGAACAGUGCCAAAGAUAGCAGCAGUGCCGGACAAGGAUGAAGGAAAUGUUUUCUUUUCAAUUAAAACCUGUUUUUAAAAAUCGACAUGCUGUUUUUUUCAGUCUGAGUUUUUUGUUGUUUUUACGGAUCAAGUUCAUUUCAGUUUGAAGAAUCAGCAGUGAUAAAAAGCUGUUAAGCGUGGGCAUCUACUCAUGUGUGUACCUUUUCUCUUUUCCGUUCUAUCUAUCCAUUUACCAGCCCUUUGCACCAGAGGGCUGGUCAGCAGGAAUACUUGCUCUUCACAAACGGAGCCUGGCCCAGGCCCAGGACAGUGUUCUGAGGAGGAUUUCAGGCUGCAUCUCCCUCUUCCAUAGGGUUUGAAUAAUCCCACAGGUUCCCAUCUGGCAAGAUUUAUUUUUAGAAUAGCCUCUCACAUAAUCUGGCUUAUUUGCCUGAAUGCUCCCUUAGCAUAUAUCUUUCCUAAACAGAGACAUUCCCCUUAGCUUGUAACUCAUUCCUGCACAAAUCCAUUGCAGACUCUGAGCUACAUGGUUUGGUUGCCAGAAAUGCCAGAAGGUCUUACCAUUAACAAGUAGUCUGUUUCUUGUAGUAUCUUACACAGCACACUUUCCAAUGGUGUGAGAAAAAUCUUCAAACAACCUGGCUAAGUAAAGCAUCACAAGAUGCCCCCAAACCAAACUGUAAGAUAAAACCUCAUCAGUUUGGCAAAUUGCUCUUGGUUUGGAUGUUACACGUAUGUAGGUUCUCCUUUGUGUAGAUGAUGAAGAAUUGCCUGGAGUAUUCUCGAGAAGUCUUACUGGCCAGAGAGAGAGAAAUAGCGGUAAUUUCAUAUGGUUCAACCAAAAUAGGUUCAGAGAAUUUCAGAGUCAGAAGUUUUUUGAGACUAUCAGGGUGUCUUUCAAAUAUCUGAAUGCCGUUUAUGUGAACCCAAUGAUUGCUCAACCUCUGCUUGAACUCCUCUAGGGUCAGGGAACCCAUUACCUUACAGGGCAGUCAGUUCUGGUUUCAGAUCGUUCAUAUUGUUAAAGUUCUUAGUUAAAAUGAGUUCAAAUCAUAUCAGUGUAAUUUCUACCACUGGGUCCUAGCUCUGCUCCCUAGAGUCACAUGCAGAAAAGCUAGUUCCUCUUCCAUUUAACAGCUUUGCUUUAAGCAAUUUUAAGGAGUUACUGCAUUUUCUUAUGUCCUCUCUUUCUCUAAAUGAAGUAUCAUUUUAAGACCCCCAUGACAUAACAAGGUGGUCACCACUGCUCACCUCUAGCAUCUCUACUUCAAGUGCCUACCAUGUUACCGAGGACCAGUUAGAAGCCCAGUUCCCUCCCAUGUGGAGUUGGGUGGGCUGCCACCUCACUUUCCUUGGACACCCACUUUCUAGUAGUGCUGCAUAUGUGGGAACAGACCGACUGAGACCAUAGAGCUCGUGGUUGACCUUGACAACCCAAGCCCACGGCUUUGCCCUGGGCCUCAGGACAUUCUAAUGCAGAGGAAGGAACAGCUAGAGUUUGAGUCUAUGCCUCCUCCCACAGCUGGUUUUGACUAGGAUGCUCAGCUAACCAGUGAUCCCAAGGGGCUUCAAGACUGGCACUUUCUCUGAGUUGCCACGUCAUGGGGCUCUGAGCAAGGAGCUGGACCUCUUUAUUUGCAGAGCUGCCACAAGGCCCAGCCAAUACCCAGGUAUCAGAUGCCUCCCUGCUGUGCUGCCCUGAUGCCCGGGAGGCACUGUCAGUUCUCUGUGUCUCCUCUUUUUUCACAUCAGACAGACUGAUUGCUCCUGCCAGGAUUCCCCAGGAUGCCACCUCUUUGUCACUUGCUUGUCUUCAUCAGGAUUCAGGGGUCUGGGUGGUUGUAUAUGUUAUCUGUCUUAAAUGGAAAGAAAUAAGCAGAUUCCUUUGGAAGCAGUUCAGCAAAUAGCUGGGCUCAGAAUGAGCUACCUUCUAUAUCAAAACCUUUCUAUGCACUACACCUGGACAACUUGCUGCCCUGUGGCUGCAGGAGCUGUUCCAGGCAUGCCAUACCAUACUGUGCCCCCCAUAACUGAUGGGUGAGGUGGUGGGCACUGCUCAUUGUGUCUGGAUGCCCAUCACUCAAGCCUGGUGUGACCAGUCAACCACCCUGAGUACCUGCAGCUCUUCAUUGCUUAAAGCCCUUGAAGCAAGAGAAGCGGAUAGCCCAUAAACACAUAAAAAGAAGUUCAACAUCAUUAGCCAACAGAGAAAUGCAAAUCAAAACCACUUCACGCCCACCAGGAUGGCUAAACUAGAUAACAAAUGUUAGAAUGUGGAGAAAUUGGAAUUUAUAUAUCGUUGAGAAUGGAAAUGGUGAAUGUUAAAUAGUGCAGUCACUUCAGAAAACAGUCUCGCAGUUCCUCAGCAUGUUAGAUAUAGAGUUACCAUAUGACCUGAGCAUUUUCAUCCUGCGUAUUUACCCAAAAUAAAUGAAAACAUAAUCCACACAAGAACAUGUACAGGAACAUCCAUAGCAAUGUGAUUCAUAAUAGCUAAAAAGUAGAAAACAGCCCAAAUGUCCAGAUGGAUAAAUAAAAUGUGCUAUAUCCAUGCAAUGGAAUAUUAUUCAGCAAAGAAAAGGAAUGAAUUAUGGGAAGACAUCCAUUAUGGAAAGACUUACUGCUGCAAAGAUGGCAGUAAUCCCCUAUGUAACCUCUAAAUCCAACAUAAUCGCUAUCAAAAUCCCAGCUGGAAUUUUUACAGAAACUGACUAUCUCGUUGUAAAAUCCACAUAGAAAUGCAAGGAACCUAGGAUGUUGAAAACAACAUUAAAUAAGAACAAUGUUGGUGGACUCAUACUUUCUGACUUCAAACUUACAACAAAACUGUAGUUAUUAAGACAGUGUGGUCAAGUAGUAAGGCUAGACAUAUAGAUCAAAGGAAUAGAAUGGAGAGUCUAGAAUAAACCUUUACAUUUAAGGUCACUUGGUUUUCAACAAGGGUGUCAAGACAAUUAAAUGGGGGAAAUUUUUUUCAACAAAUGGUGUUUGUUUGAUUGGAGUUCCCCCGUGGCACAGUGGGUUAAGGAUCCAGCAUUGUCACUGUGGUGGCUUGGGUUGCUACUGUGGUGCAGUUUUGAUCCCUGGUCCAGGAACUUCCACAUGCUAUGGAGUGCAGCCAACAAACAAACAAACAGAAACAAAAAAUGGUGUUAGAUAUUCAUAUGCAGAAAAAUUAAGUUGGACCUUUACCUCUUUGUGAGCUUGGGUUAGUCAAUGGUUUCUUAGAUAUGACACCAGAAAGCACAAGAAACAAAGGAAAAAAAAUAGAUACACUGGACUUCACCAAAAUUUAAAACUUUUGUGCUUCAAAUAACACCAUUAGAAGAAUCAAAAGACAACCCACAGAAUGGGAGAAAAUAUAAUUAUAUAUUUGAUAAAGGACUUAUAUAUAGAAUAUAUAAGGAAUUCACACAAGUCAAUAAUAAGACACAUAACCAAAUUUAAACGAUAAGCAAAGGCUCUGAAUAGACAUUUCCCCAAGACAAAUAUACAAAUAAGCACAUGAAAAUAUGUUCAACAUCAUUAGUCACUAAGGAAGUGCAAAUCAAGGCCGCAGUGAGAUACUCCUUCACACCCACUAGGAUGACUAAAAUUAAAAAGACAAACAAUAGCUAGUAUUGGAGAAGAUGUGUAGAAAUUGAACCCUAAUCCGCUGCUGAUGGGAAUGUAAGGCAUUUGUUUCAGAAAUCAGUCUUGCAGUUCCUCAAAAUAUUAUACAUGGAAUUAGCACAUGACUGAGCAGUUCCACUCCUAGAUGUGUGCCCAAGGAAAUGGAAACACCUGUCCACACCAAAAUGUGCACAUGAAUGCUUCAGCAGCAUUAUUCAUAGUAGCCAAAAAGUGGAAACAAUCCAAGGUUCCAUCAACUGAUGAAUGGAUGAACCAAAUGUAGCAUAAACUAUACAGUGGAUUAUUAUCUGGGCAUAAAAGGGAAUGGAGUACUGAUUCAUUUCUCAGCUGGAUGAACCUUGAAAACAUUAUGCGAAGUGAAAGGAAUCUAGUCACAAGACAACAGAUUGAAUGAUCGCAUUAAUAGGAAGUUUCCGGAGUUGGAAAAUUUGUCGACAGAAAGUAGAUUUAUAUGUAGUGCUAUAUAUAGUAAAACUAUAUAGACAGAAGCAGUUGCUUACAGGCUAGAGGGUGUGGGAAACAAUAGCUAAAGGAUACAGUGUUUCUUUUUGAUGUGAUGGAUGCAGAAAUCUGUGAAUAUGCUAAAAACCAUUGAAAUGCAUCCUUUAAAUAGGUGAAUUGUAUGCUAUGUGACAUAAACAUCAAUAAAGCUGCUAAAAAAUGUGUAGCAAAUCAUUCUGGCUUAAAAUGAAUAAAUCGUCAUUAAUAUGACAGUUUGUUGGCUCUGCUUACUGCUGGCUGUGUAACAUUGGACCAAGUAAAUUCUGCUCCCUGCCUUGGUGUCCUUCUCUACGAAAUGGAUGAAGCCAUAUCUAAUUCAUGGUAUCCUUUGCCUCUUCCCUGCCCUCAUCUCUCUGCCUCCAGUCUCUCCUCCCAGUUCUAACUUGCUAACAUCUUCAUUGAAGUUUUCCUGCGGCACAGGUCUGAUCACAUCUUCCCAGGCUUCAGACUGAAGUGGCUCCCUGCUACUGAAAAGGACAAACACCUGCCCAUCCCUUUGUCCUCCAGGCCAUCCCUCUGUUGGGCUUCACCAUCUUCCUACCUCCUCAGGUACUUUGCACAGAGGCCAAGGCAGGCUAUUCUCCUUUCUCCAAACUGAAGUACUGCUUUCUGCCUCCACAAGUUGACUCACAUUGAUGCCUGUGGCUGACAAAAUAUUCACAACCUGCACCGAUCUGCUCAGUGCCAGGUCAGGUCUGACUCCUAUCUUGCUGGGGUCUCAUGCCCAGCACUGGCCCUCUCUGCUCUUGCUUUUCUCUCCUUUAAAAUGAUGGAAUUGGACUACCUGGAUAUUCUGAGGAAUAAGAAUUCCUGGUUCAUAAAAAGGUCCUUCAGCAUCACUAAUCAUCAGGGAAAUGCAAAUCAAACCACCAUGAGAUCUUACCUCACACCUGUCAGAAUAGCUGUCAUCAAAAAGAUAAGAAGUAACAUCUUGGUGAGGAUGUGGAGGAAAAGGAACCCUUGUGCACUGUUGGUGGGAAUGUAAAUGGGUCUAGCCACCAUGGAAAACAGUAAUGGAAACUCCUCAAAUAAUUAAAAGUAGGACUAUCCUAUGAUACAGCAACUCCAUUUCUGCAUAUUUGUCCAAAGAAAACAAAAGCACUAGCUCAAAAACAUAUAUGUACCCCCAUGUUCAUUGAAGCGUGAUUCACAAUAGCCAAGUUAUGGACACAACCUACGUGACAUCAUUGAUGGAUGAAUGGAUGAAGAAAAUGUGGUAUUAUACACAUAAUGGAAUAUUACUCAGCCAUAAAAAGAAGGAAAUCUUGCCAUUUGUGACAACAUGGAUGGACUUUAAGGGCAUUAUUCCAAGAGAAAUAAGAUAGAGAAAGACAAAUUCUGUAUGAUCUCAUUUAUGCGGAACCUAAAAAACAAAUAAAACCCCCAGUGAGCUCACAGGUACAAAGAACUGAUUGGUGGUUGCCAGAGGCUGGGGUUGGGGGUGAGUUAAAUGAGUGGAAGGGGUCCAAAUAUAAUCUUCCAGUUAUAAAUAAGUCAGUCCUGUGUACAUAAUGUACAGCAUAAUGACUAUAGUUAAUAAUACUGUAUUGUACUUUUGAAAGUUGCGAAGAGAAUAGAUCUUAAAAGUAGGUCACGAGAAAAAAAAACUUUACCUCUGUAUGCUGGCAGACGUUCACUAGACUUACUGCAGUGAUCAUCUCACUAUAUAUGAAUAUCAGAUCAUUAUGUUGUACACCUGAAACUAAUAUAAUGUCACAUAACAAUUAUAUCUCAAUUUUAAAAAGUAGGAAUAUAAAAGAAUUCCCUGGGAUGUUCAUAGAAUUUUUCAAAAGAGGGUGGUAUGGUCAGCUCUAACCACAGAACUUCUCAGAGCCUUUAAUUUGCUAUUGGGCAUUGUGAGCCGCCAGGAGGGGGAUAUAAUUUGCAAACUUUGAUGUAAAUUGCAGAAAUACCUUUUUGGAUCCAUCUCCUAGAGUAAUGAAAAUAAAAGCAAAAAUAAACAAAUAGGACCCAAUUAAACAUAAGAGCUUUUGCACAGCAAAGGAAACUAUAAACAGAACAAAAAGACAUCUAUAAGAUGUGGGAGAAACUCUUUGUAAAUGAGGCAACCGACAAGGGAUUAAUCUCCAAGAUAUACAAAUAUCUCGUAAUUCAAAAAAAAAAAAAAAA
Non-coding RNA from Sus scrofa (pig), 11180 nucleotides. NCBI's taxonomy places the organism in Eukaryota, Metazoa, Chordata, Mammalia, Artiodactyla, Suidae. The record is from RefSeq and is a predicted model, not a curated record.